CAGUCGCCGCGGGAAUACGUAGGUGGUAAGCGUUGUCCGGAAUUAUUGGGCGUAAAGGGCUCGCAGGCGGUUUCUUAAGUCUGAUGUGAAAGCCCCCGGCUCAACCGGGUAGGGUCAUUGGAAACUGGGAAACUUGAGUGCAGAAGAGGAGAGUGGAAUUCCACGUGUAGCGGUGAAAUGUGUAGAGAUGUGGAGGAACACCAGUGGCGAAGGCGACUCUCUGGUCUGUAACUGACGCUGAGGAGCGAAAGCGUGGGGAGCGAACAGGAUUAGAUACCCCAGUAGUCCCUGUCUCUUAUAC
RNAcentral lists this ribosomal RNA (301 nucleotides) under uncultured bacterium. RNAcentral describes it as "partial 16S ribosomal RNA". It matches the Rfam family "Bacterial small subunit ribosomal RNA", at positions 509 to 807 of the family's 1533-position model. The record is from RNAcentral.